GGGCAGGGCGGAGACGGCGGCGCCGGUUCCGGGGGCAGCGGCGGCGGCGGCGACGGCGGGCACGGCCUGGCGGGCGCGGCGAACGAUCUGCGCCUGCGCGUAGGCGCGGACAGCAGCCUGCGCGGCGGCGAUGGCGGCGCCACGUGGCCGGUUACCCACAGGGCGGGCGCGGGCGGCGCCGGCGGGGCCGGCCUGUUCGUGUCGGCGUCGCGGUGGCAGGUGGAAACCGCGGGCCUGAUCCAGGGCGGCAACGGGGCCCGGGGCGAGGUCAGCCGGGAAUUCGACGGCGGCGAUGGCGGCGCGGGCGGCGCGGGCAUCGCGCUGGCCGGCGAUACGGGCCGGCUGGUCAACCGCGGCGAGAUCCGGGGUGGCUCGGGCGCGACGGGCGGCACGAGCGAGCGGGCCGCGCCCGGCGCGGCGGGCGCGGGCGGCGCCGGCGUGCGGAUCGCCGGCAACGGCAAUCGCCUGGUCAACGCCGGCCGCAUCGCCGGCGGCCUGUCCGCGGACGGCCAGCAGGCCGACGCGGUGCGUAUCGAUGGCGCGGGCAACACCUUCGAGCUGCGCGCGGGGUCCGUCCUGCAAGGCAAUGCCGUCGCCACGGGCGGCGCCAACGUGCUGGCCCUGGGGGGCGCGCAGCCGGGCGUCUUCGACGUGUCGGCGCUGGUGGCCGGCGCGCCGGCCGCGUGGAGCGGCGUGGCCCGGUAUGGCGGCUUCACGGCGUACGAGAAGACCGGCACGGGCUCCUGGCGCCUGACCGGCGGCAACGCGGCGGCCCUGUCCUGGACCGUACGCGCCGGACGCCUGGCCGUGGAUGCCGAGAUGGCGGGCUCGGCCAUGACGGUGGCCGCCGGCGGCACGCUGGGCGGCACCGGCACGGUGGGCGACACCACCGUCCGGGCCGGCGGCGCGCUGGCGCCGGGCAAUUCCAUCGGCACAUUGCGCGUGGCGGGCGACCUGGUGUUCGAGCCGGGUUCGCGCUUCGAGGUCGAAGCCGACCCGGCCGGCACGGCCAGCGAUCGCGUGACGGUCAGCGGCACGGCCGACAUCCGCGGCGGCACGGUCCUGCAUGUCGGGCCGGAAGGCGGGUUCGAGGCGCGCCAGCGCUACGUGAUCCUCACCGCGGGCCGGCGGCUCGGCCAGUUCGAUGCCGUCGGUUCGGGCUACGCCUAUCUCGCGCCGGCGCUGUCGUAUGACGCGACCAGCGUGGCGCUGACCCUGCAGCGCCGCGGCGCGCCAGGCAGCGGCGAACUGGCUUUCGCCGACCUGGCCGAUACGGCCAACCAGCGCGCCACCGCCCGCGCCGCCGAGACGCUGCCGGCUGCCCACCCGGUCUACCGCGCCAUAGAGACGCUGCCCGAAGGCGCGCCGCCGGCGGCCUUCGAUGCCUUGUCGGGCGAGGUGCACGCCAGCACGCGCAGCGCGCUGCUGACGGGCGCGCGCCAGGCGCAGCAGGUCAACCUGGGGCGUUUGCGCGACCACCUGGGCCUGGCCUGGCAGGCUGGCGCGCCGAUGGCGGCCAGCGGCAGCGCGCCCGGCGCGGCGGCGCUGCCGGGCGCGCUGUCGCCGGCCUGGGCCGAGGUGGUCGGCGCCUGGCAACGCCUGGACGGCGACGGCAACGCGGCGCAGGUGCGCCAGCAUGUCGGCGGGCUGUUCGUCGGCGCCGACACCGCGCUGGCCAACGGCUGGCGCGUGGGCGGUUCGCUGGGCUUUACCGAUGGCCGGAUCGAGGUCGACGCACGCGCCUCGCAAACCGACGUCGCCAGCUACACCGCCGCGCUCUAUGGCGGCCGCGCCUGGGAUACGGGCGCCGGACGCCUGAACCUGCUGGCUGGCGCCGCCUAUACCUGGCACGACAUCGCCAGCGAGCGCCGCGUCGACGUGGGCGACCUGCGGCAGGAACUGACGGCGGACUACGGCGCCAGCACCACGCAGCUGUUCACCGAACUGAGCUACGCCAUGCCGCUGGGCAUGACAGCCGAACUGGAGCCAUUCGCGGGGCUGGCCUGGAACCAGUUGCGCGUGCGCGGCUUCACCGAGACGGGCGGCAGCGCCGCGUUGAGCGGCGCAAGCAGCCGCGACGACAUGGCCACCACGACUCUCGGGGCGCGCGUGGCGGUGCCGCUCGGCGCCGGUGCCACGCUGCGGGCGAUGGCCGGCUGGCGGCAUGCCUUCGGCGAUCGCACGCCGCAAAGCACGCUGGCCUUCGGCCAGGGCAGCGCCUUCGAGGUGGCCGGCGCGCCGAUCGCGCGCGAUGCGGCCUUGCUGGGCGUGGGCG
RNAcentral lists this ribosomal RNA (2275 nucleotides) under Bordetella bronchiseptica MBORD782. RNAcentral's name for it is "23S ribosomal RNA". The record is from RNAcentral. Lineage: Bacteria; Pseudomonadati; Pseudomonadota; Betaproteobacteria; Burkholderiales; Alcaligenaceae.